CGGUGGAGCAUGUGGUUAAUUCGAAGCAACGCGAAGAACCUACCAGGCCUUGACAUGCAGAGAACUUUCCAGAGAUGGAUUGGUGCCUUCGGGAACUCUGACACAGGUGCUGCAUGGCUGUCGUCAGCUCGUGUCGUGAGAUGUUGGGUUAAGCCCGUAACGAGCGCAACCCUUGUCCUUAGUUACCAGCACGUUAUGGUGGGCACUCUAAGGAGACUGCCGGUGACAACCGGAGGAAGGUGGGGAUGGCGUCAAGUCAUCAUGGCCCUUACGGCCUGGGCUACACACGUGCUACAAUGGUCGGUACAAAGGGUUGCCAAGCCGCGAGGUGGAGCUAAUCCCAUAAAACCGAUCGUAGUCCGGAUCGCAGUCUGCAACUCGACUGCGUGAAGUCGGAAUCGCUAGUAAUCGUGAAUCAGAAUGUCACGGUGAAUACGUUCCCGGGCCUU
Molecule: ribosomal RNA, 449 nt
Filed under: uncultured Pseudomonas sp.
Lineage: Bacteria; Pseudomonadati; Pseudomonadota; Gammaproteobacteria; Pseudomonadales; Pseudomonadaceae
Description: bacterial SSU rRNA
Rfam family: Bacterial small subunit ribosomal RNA
Source: RNAcentral